RNAcentral lists this ribosomal RNA (407 nucleotides) under Desulforamulus aquiferis. RNAcentral describes it as "partial 23S ribosomal RNA". It matches the Rfam family "Bacterial large subunit ribosomal RNA", at positions 1185 to 1590 of the family's 2925-position model. The record is from RNAcentral. Lineage: Bacteria; Bacillati; Bacillota; Clostridia; Eubacteriales; Peptococcaceae.
AGCCUGGCACCGAAGCUUUGGAAUGAUGAAUGUCAUUGGUAGGGGAGCGUUCUUAACGAGUAGAAGCGGUACCGUGAGGAGCCGUGGAUUGUUAAGAAGUGAGAAUGCCGGUAUGAGUAAGCGAAAAGGCAGGUGAGAAUCCUGCCCGCCGAAAACCUAAGGUUUUCUGGGGAAGGUUCGUCCGCCCAGAGUAAGUCGGGACCUAAGCCGAGGCCGCAAGGCGUAGGCGAUGGACAAUCGGUUGAGAAUCCGAUACCACCAGAUACCGUUUGAGUGAAGGAGUGACGCAGGAGGGUAAGUCAAGCCAGCGGUUGGAAAAGCUGGUCCAAGCCCGUAGGGUAAGAGAUAGGCAAAUCCGUCUCUUGUAAAGCCUGAGAGGUGAAGGGGAGCGAAAACAAGUAGCGAAG